Small nuclear RNA from Candoia aspera, 162 nucleotides. RefSeq annotates it as U1 spliceosomal RNA. The record is from RefSeq and is a predicted model, not a curated record. The transcript has a single exon. NCBI's taxonomy places the organism in Eukaryota, Metazoa, Chordata, Lepidosauria, Squamata, Candoiidae.
AUACAGUAGGGCAGGGGAGUUACUUGAUCACGAAGGAGGUUUUCCCAGGGUGAGGCUCAUCCAUUGCACUCCGGGUCUGCUGACCCCUGUGAUUUCCCCAAAUGCGGGAAACUCGACUGCAUAAUAAUUUACACUGUAAUACUUAUUCAGUAAAAUACUAAU